ACUAGCAUGAAUGGCUAAAUGAAGACUACACUGUCUCUUAUGGAAGACCAAUGAAACUGAUCUUUCAGUACAAAAGCUGAAAUACCCCCAUAAGACGAGAAGACCCUGUGGAGCUUUUAAACUAAACUCAUUAUUACAUGAUUACUUAGUUUUUAGUUGGGGCGACUUCGGAGUACAAACAACCCUCCGAUAUAUAACAACAAAAAUAAGACUAACAAGUCAAAACUUUAAUGACCCAGUAGCUCUAAUUUACUAGACUAUCUGAUUAAUGAACUAAGUUACCCCAGGGAUAACAGCGCCAUCCUCUUCUAGAGUCCCUAUCAACAAGAGGGUUUACGACCUCGAUGUUGGAUCAGGACACCCAAAUGGUGCAGCCGCUAUUAAAG
RNAcentral lists this ribosomal RNA (386 nucleotides) under Omanosaura jayakari. RNAcentral describes it as "partial 16S ribosomal RNA". It matches the Rfam family "Bacterial large subunit ribosomal RNA", at positions 1986 to 2570 of the family's 2925-position model. The record is from RNAcentral. Lineage: Eukaryota; Metazoa; Chordata; Lepidosauria; Squamata; Lacertidae.